Molecule: transfer RNA, 74 nt
Filed under: Nematostella vectensis (starlet sea anemone)
Lineage: Eukaryota; Metazoa; Cnidaria; Anthozoa; Actiniaria; Edwardsiidae
Rfam family: tRNA
About the family: Transfer RNA (tRNA) molecules are approximately 80 nucleotides in length. Their secondary structure includes four short double-helical elements and three loops (D, anti-codon, and T loops).
Source: Rfam by way of RNAcentral
GUUUCUGUGGCGCAAUCGGUUAGCGCGUUCGGCUGUUAACCAAAAGGUUGGUGGUUCAAACCCACAAAGGGACG